GCAAGAAGUAUGCUCACCCUGGGAGGAACACCCUUCCCAGGAGUGGCUCACAGGAGCUUUUAAGCCCCUGGUGGCUCCUAGAAACAGCCUUAGGGUUCAGGCUUUCUUGAAUACAGCACAAAUGGAGAUUAUCACCCAUCCUGCUCACUUUGAGGGUCCUGUGGAAACAGGUGGUGACCCAAUGGAUACCCCAAGCAGUACUCAAAUAAAGAGGAAAGGCCUUCAUGGACUCCAAAGAAGGUUCAACCAGAGAGAAAUACUGGGGACCUUCAAUUGGAGGCUUCCAGCUGUCAGCACCUGAGCUAUCCAGCAAGGAUCAAGUGUCUUUAGCUGCCAGGGGGCAUGAACCAAGACCCCCCAUAUGCUUGCCGCAGCACUGUCUGUAAACUGGGAUGGAGUGGGGAGAAGGAUUUGGCAACAGGCUCAGCACUUCACGAAUUGUCCAUCCACGAUGGCCAUUCAUCUGCUUGCCUUGGACUGAGGACUUUCUGAGCUAACAGAUACCUAGCAAGGUCCCCAACUUCCACAUGGGAACCAUGUUUCUUCACACACAUGACCCACCUGCUCUUAAAACUUCUGUUCCCACUCUGACUCCAGGACUUGACAUCUGUAUAGCUUGGUUCAAAUACAACCCCGGUUUCCG
Molecule: long non-coding RNA, 643 nt
Filed under: Cricetulus griseus (Chinese hamster)
Lineage: Eukaryota; Metazoa; Chordata; Mammalia; Rodentia; Cricetidae
Description: lncRNA (ENSCGRG00000026523.1)
Source: RNAcentral